Molecule: ribosomal RNA, 406 nt
Filed under: uncultured bacterium
Lineage: Bacteria
Description: partial 16S ribosomal RNA
Rfam family: Bacterial small subunit ribosomal RNA
Source: RNAcentral
AUUGAACGCUGGCGGCAGGCCUAACACAUGCAAGUCGAACGAGUGGCGGACGGGUGAGUCAUGUCUGGGAAACUGCCCGAUGGAGGGGGAUAACUACUGGAAACGGUAGCUAAUACCGCAUACCAUCGGAUGUGCCCAGAUGGGAGUAGCUAGUAGGUGGGGUAACGGCUCACCUAGGCGCCGAUCCCUAGCUGGUCUGAGAGGAUGACCAGCCACACUGUAACUGAGAGAUGGACCAGAGGCCUACGGGAGGCAGCGGUGGGGAAUAUUGCACAAUGGGCGCAAGCCUGAUGCAGCCAUGCCGCGUGGAUGAAGAAGGCCUUCGGGUUGUAAAGUACUUUCAGCGGGGGGGCGUUACUCGCAGAAGAAGCACCGGCUAACUCCGUGCCAGCAGCCGCGGUAAUUC